This 325-nucleotide long non-coding RNA is filed under the name Gouania willdenowi (blunt-snouted clingfish). RNAcentral describes it as "lncRNA (ENSGWIG00000000749.1)". Lineage: Eukaryota; Metazoa; Chordata; Actinopteri; Blenniiformes; Gobiesocidae. The record is from RNAcentral.
GAGUUGACCAAGAACCAGGUUGUGAUUUUUAGAUCGUAGAACAUCCAUGAUUUUGUUUGGGUGUUUAUAUUUCAUUCAUUUGCAUAUAUUUUCAACUGUAUUUCAGAAUCUGAUGAUUGAAAAUACUAUUAAAAAUGUCAGUGAAGCCCCCCAAAGCCACUCUCGUACCACGUCUCCUUUAACCACUAUGGCUCCAUCAAGCUCCAGUGUUUCUCCUCCAUGUCCAGGAAACCAGGUGCUGCAGGACACCAGUAAUGGCUGUGGUUGUCCACCAGGAAUGGUGAACAUUGGGAACAACUGUUCCUGUCCUGCAGGAUUCAGCCUG